This 500-nucleotide ribosomal RNA is filed under the name uncultured bacterium. RNAcentral's name for it is "partial 16S ribosomal RNA". It matches the Rfam family "Bacterial small subunit ribosomal RNA", at positions 30 to 523 of the family's 1533-position model. The record is from RNAcentral.
AUUGAACGCUGGCGGAAUGCUUUACACAUGCAAGUCGAACGGCAGCACGGACUUCGGUCUGGUGGCGAGUGGCGAACGGGUGAGUACUAUAUAGGAACGUGCCCAGUCGUGGGGGAUAACGUAGUGAAAAUUACGCUAAUACCGCAUACGAUCUAAGGAUGAAAGAGGGGGACCUUUGGGCCUCGCGCGAUUGGAGCGGCCGAUAGCAGAGUAGGUAGUUGGUGGGGUAAAGGCUCACCAAGCCAACGAUCUGUAGCUGGUCUGAGAGGACGACCAGCCACACUGGGACUGAGACACGGCCCAGACUCCUACGGGAGGCAGCAGUGGGGAAUUUUGGACAAUGGACGCAAGUCUGAUCCAGCCAUUCCGCGUGCAGGACGAAGGCCUUCGGGUUGUAAACUGCUUUUGUACAGAACGAAAAGGUUUCUACUAAUACUAGGAGCUCAUGACGGUACUGUAAGAAUAAGCACCGGCUAACUACGUGCCAGCCGCCGCAGUAA